Molecule: ribosomal RNA, 460 nt
Filed under: uncultured bacterium
Lineage: Bacteria
Description: partial 16S ribosomal RNA
Rfam family: Bacterial small subunit ribosomal RNA
Source: RNAcentral
CCUACGGGAGGCUGCAGUGAGGAAUAUUGGUCAAUGGCCGGAAGGCUGAACCAGCCAUGCCGCGUGAAGGUCAGUGCCCUAUGGGCGUUAAACUUCUUUUGUGCGGGAGCAAUAAUGGUCACGUGUGGCCAGACGAGAGUACCGUACGAAUAAGCAUCGGCUAACUCCGUGCCAGCAGCCGCGGUAAUACGGGGGAUGCAAGCGUUAUCCGGAUUUAUUGGGUUUAAAGGGUGCGUAGGCUGUGAGGUAAGUCAGCGGUGAAAUGCCCCCGCUCAACGGGGUGAAGUGCCAUUGAUACUGCCUGGCUGGAAUGCGGAUGCCGUGGGAGGAAUGUGUGGUGUAGCGGUGAAAUGCAUAGAUAUCACACAGAACACCGAUUGCGAAGGCAUCUCACGAAGCCGCGAUUGACGCUGAUGCACGAAAGCGUGGGUAUCAAACAGGAUUAGAUACCCUAGUAGUC